UAGUCCACGCCGUAAACGAUGUCUACUAGCCGUUGGGAGACUUGAUUUCUUAGUGGCGCAGCUAACGCACUAAGUAGACCGCCUGGGGAGUACGGCCGCAAGGUUAAAACUCAAAUGAAUUGGACGGGGGCCCGCACAAGCGGUGGAGCAUGUGGUUUAAUUCGAUGCAACGCGAAGAACCUUACCAGGUCUUGACAUCCUGCGAAUUUUCUAGAGAUAGAUUAGUGCCUUUCGGGAACGCAGUGACAGGUGCUGCAUGGCUGUCGUCAGCUCGUGUCGUGAGAUGUUGGGUUAAGUCCCGUAACGAGCGCAACCCUUGUCCUUAGUUGCCAGCGAGUAAUGUCGGGAACUCUAAGGAGACUGCCCGGUGACAAACCGGNGGAAGGUGGGGACGACGUCAAGUCCUCAUGGCCUUUAUGACCAGGGCUACACACGUACUACAAUGGCAUAAACAAUGGGCAGCGACUUAGCGAUAAGGAGCGAAUCCUCAAAUUAUGUCUCAGUCCGGAUUGG
RNAcentral lists this ribosomal RNA (513 nucleotides) under uncultured bacterium. RNAcentral describes it as "bacterial SSU rRNA". It matches the Rfam family "Bacterial small subunit ribosomal RNA", at positions 791 to 1301 of the family's 1533-position model. The record is from RNAcentral.